This 497-nucleotide ribosomal RNA is filed under the name uncultured bacterium. Its description in RNAcentral is "partial 16S ribosomal RNA". It matches the Rfam family "Bacterial small subunit ribosomal RNA", at positions 28 to 507 of the family's 1533-position model. The record is from RNAcentral.
GAUGAACGCUGGCGGCGUGCCUAAUACAUGCAAGUCGAGCGAACAGACGAGGAGCUUGCUCCUCUGACGUUAGCGGCGGACGGGUGAGUAACACGUGGAUAACCUACCUAUAAGACUGGGAUAACUUCGGGAAACCGGAGCUAAUACCGGAUAAUAUAUUGAACCGCAUGGUUCAAUAGUGAAAGACGGUUUUGCUGUCACUUAUAGAUGGAUCCGCGCCGCAUUAGCUAGUUGGUAAGGUAACGGCUUACCAAGGCAACGAUGCGUAGCCGACCUGAGAGGGUGAUCAGCCACACUGGAACUGAGACACGGUCCAGACUCCUACGGGAGGCAGCAGUAGGGAAUCUUCCGCAAUGAGCGAAAGCCUGACGGAGCAACGCCGCGUGAGUGAUGAAGGUCUGCGGAUCGUAAAACUCUGUUAUUAGGGAAGAACAAAUGUGUAAGUAACUAUGCACGUCUUGACGGUACCUAAUCAGAAAGCCACGGCUAACUACGUG